This 73-nucleotide transfer RNA is filed under the name Rhodococcus (subgen. Prescottella) equi. RNAcentral describes it as "Rhodococcus hoagii tRNA-Val". It matches the Rfam family "tRNA". Rfam says of the family: Transfer RNA (tRNA) molecules are approximately 80 nucleotides in length. Their secondary structure includes four short double-helical elements and three loops (D, anti-codon, and T loops). The record is from RNAcentral. Lineage: Bacteria; Bacillati; Actinomycetota; Actinomycetes; Mycobacteriales; Nocardiaceae.
GCGCGAUUAGCUCAGCGGGAGAGCGCUUCCUGACACGGAAAGGUCACUGGUUCAAUCCCAGUAUCGCGCACCA